This 187-nucleotide non-coding RNA is filed under the name pig gut metagenome. The record is from RNAcentral.
AGGUAUCAGGAGUAACGCCCUGAUUGAAAAGGGAAUACGGUGAGAAUCCGUAACAGACCCGCUGCUGUGAGUCCGCACUACGCUUGAAACAGGAAGUAGUGUUGUUCGCGAGAAAAAGCCACUGAUACAGGUCAACUGUAUUGGGAAGGUAGCGAAAGGGGACAAGUCAGAAGACCUGCCUAUUGUU